This 1380-nucleotide long non-coding RNA is filed under the name Dasypus novemcinctus (nine-banded armadillo). RNAcentral's name for it is "lncRNA (ENSDNOG00000052665.1)". The record is from RNAcentral. Lineage: Eukaryota; Metazoa; Chordata; Mammalia; Cingulata; Dasypodidae.
GGGAACUAUUUUCUCCUCUGUUGGGGGGCCGGGAAGAGUGACAGAAAUGCAUCUAGGUCCCUGAUGUAGGCAAGAUACAUUCAAAUACCACACUUAAGCCUCCUACGGCUGACAAGAGCCCUGAGUCCCCAGCUAUGGGACAGUCAGCCACUGCCCAGUCUGACAGUAUUUGUGGACUGGCUGCAGGACGGGAUGGGCAGGGCCAUAGACAGCAACUCUCCUGAAACACACACACGGUUCCCUUCAGAGGCAAUGUGGCUGGCAAGGGAAGGCCUCUCUGAUCUGCGGUCUACUCUCCUCUCACAGUGCCUUCGACCAUCCGUGCCAGAACUUCGGGGGCCAUCCUCGUGGGAACUUUCCCCAUCUCCAGGAUGCACUGAUGCUCCAGGGACCCAUGUCGUCCGUGCAUGUGCAGAUGACUUCUGUGACACUGAAAUGGCAGUCAUGUCCUGCCCAUGCCCCACUUGGGGGCCAUGAAUGCAGCGAGCCCGAGCCCGAGCCCGGAGGGUCUGCCCUUUACCUGGCCAGAGCUCUGCGAGCCUUGGAGGGCAAUCCUGAUGGAGCUGAGGAGGACAUCCUCUGGAAGCAGAUUGUCAUCACUGCCCCCCUGCACAGAGGACAACCUCGGGCCCGACCACCUGGGCGAGGAGUUCCCAUUCUCCUCUGGGCUUGGAAUGCACGACCAUACCGUGAGGCCCACACAACUCGUCCUGCACAGGCUCCUCACCGGGUGAGAACCAGGCCCCUUCCACAUCCAUGACUCACUCCACAUUUCUUGUUCACUGGGUCCGUCAACUCCCUUCUCGCAUCUCCCCUCGUCCGUCAGGUGGUAGGAGUGAGGGGACACACACCACGGGUUCCUAUGCAGAACCUAAGCACAUUAGCUAGGGAUAGUUGAAACCAGGUCUGAUGGGCUGACCGAGGCCCAGGGGCUUAUCAGAUUGUUUUCUUCCCUCUGCUGGGGAGCGUCUGUCACAGCCUUCAACACCCUCUCGGAAGGGACACGACUCUUUCCCAUGUUGAAAGAAUGUGGAGAAAUCCGUCCCGGAGGUCCCAUCUGAAUUCCUAGGAGAGCAGCGUUCUCUGGGCUUUCAGAGGGUUGUCCAGACCCACUGUGACAUGGGGAAAAGUGAUCGUGGAGCACAACUGACAAAUAGAUUCUGCCUACCUAUAUGUGGAGGGACAUUGACAGAUUUAGCUUCGCUGGAGGAAUGAAGCAGAAAAAUUGUCUGCCCCCUGAGCAUGCACUCCCGUAGGGCGUCAGAAGCUACACUUGAUCUCAUGAGCAUGGGGGUCCACAGCAAGUUGGUGUGAUGGUCACGGCUCUCUCUGGGUAUGGGCAAGUCCUCCUGGUUUGUCAAGGAGAUGAAAACACUGGGC